GUCCUUUUUGUCCUAACACUUCUUGUGCCAGCGGCCUUCGCAUCCACUACGACCGGUGGAUGCGUCAAUGUAACUCUACCAGGGAUCCUGAACCUUGGAACGUGCUUCGGAACAUCGCUUAACCUGUGUUCAACAUCUGCG
Long non-coding RNA from Dermacentor silvarum, 141 nucleotides. RefSeq lists it as uncharacterized. The record is from RefSeq and is a predicted model, not a curated record. Lineage: Eukaryota; Metazoa; Arthropoda; Arachnida; Ixodida; Ixodidae. The transcript has 3 exons.